Molecule: ribosomal RNA, 493 nt
Filed under: uncultured bacterium
Lineage: Bacteria
Description: partial 16S ribosomal RNA
Rfam family: Bacterial small subunit ribosomal RNA
Source: RNAcentral
ACGCACGCUGGCGGCGCGCUUAACACAUGCAAGUCGAACGGAAAGGCCUGCUUUCCCUUGUGGAUUGCGGGUACUCGAGUGGCGAACGGGUGAGUAACACGUGAGUGAUCUGCCCCCAACUUGGGUAUAAGCCUGGGAAACUGGGUCUAAUUCCCGAUAGGACUGCAGGGUGGUGCCUGUGGUGGAAAACGAUUUUCUAGUGGUUGGGGAUGAGCUCGCGGCCUAUCAGCUUGUUGGUGGGGUAAUGGCCUACCAAGGCGGCGACGGGUAGCCGGCCUGAGAGGGUGGACGGCCACAUUGGGACUGAGAUACGGCCCAGACUCCUACGGGAGGCAGCAGUGGGGAAUAUUGCACAAUGGGCGGAAGCCUGAUGCAGCGACGCCGCGUGGGGGAUGACGGCCUUCGGGUUGUAAACUCCUUUCGACCGCGAGGAAGCCACCUGGUUGGAAGGGUGGUGACGGUAGUGGUAGAAGAAGCACCGGCUAACUACGUG